RNAcentral lists this ribosomal RNA (1221 nucleotides) under Triticum aestivum (bread wheat). RNAcentral describes it as "partial small subunit ribosomal RNA". Lineage: Eukaryota; Viridiplantae; Streptophyta; Magnoliopsida; Poales; Poaceae. The record is from RNAcentral.
UUACAUAAGUUGUGUCAGUGGCACAUCAUGAAGAAGUAAAAAGACCACUUCGCCUUGUUGUACAAGUUGCACGAGAAACUCAAGGAUGAAUUCAUUGCGGUGUUGAACCACCCACUAAUGCCGUCGGAUUUUGAACGGGCAUGGAAGGACCUCAUGCAGAAAUACAACUUGCAAAAUGAGGAAGUGAUGAAUUCGUUGUGGGAUGACAGGCAUGAGUGGAUCUUGGCUAACUAAAAGGAAUUUUUCUAUGUUCGGAUGAUUUCCACGCAGAGAAGUGAGAGCAUGAAUCGUAUAUUGAAGAAAAACUUUUUCAAAGAGAAGCAUGAUCUCCAUCUGUUUUCUCAACAGGUGGACAAGUGCAUUCAGACCAGGAAGGUCGUCGAGCACGCAGAGACAGUUGGAAAUGAGUCAAAAGUAAAGACAAAGACCCAGUUUGGGUUCAAAUUUCAGCUGUCGAAAGUAUACACAAGGGCUUUUUUUUGCAGAUUCAAAGAAAUACUCUACCGCAGCACUGCAUUCAGAGCAGAAUAGUGCCCUGAGAACCCAACAAAAUACCUCGUACACCACUACAAAAUAUCGGAUGCAUUUGAUUGGGCAAGGCAUGAUUUCCAUUUGGUCGCCGAUGAAAUGAACAGUGUCUAUGAAUGUGAGUGCAAACUCUGGACACACACAGGGCUCUUUUGCGUCCAUGUGGUAUGCAUGCUUUGUCACCUGAGAGUACUCAAGAUUCCUGAGGCGUACAUCAUGAAAAGAUACACCCGGAACACAAGAUCAAAUCCAAUGUUUGACAGAAGAGACUACGAACAAACACCACCAGAUGGAAGUUCACUAUUUUGCCGUAGGAAAUUGCUGUCAGAAACAGCAAUGGACCUUGCAAACAGAGGGACAAGGUCCGACACCGGGUACCACAGGGCAUUGUCUUGUAUGAGGGCACUGAUCGAGGAAGUUGAUGUGUUCAAUGAAGAAGAAAAAGAAGAAGCAGCAAAAAUAAAACAAGCAGAGAAUUCCCAGCUUGACAAGAAUAUCGAGCAAGUAGAAAAUGUCGAACACAUCACAACUGGUGCAAUAAAAAAAGAAACAAGUCUUGCACCUCCUGUUUCAAACAUGGGAGGAAGGAAAAAAGGGGGUGAUGCAACCCAAAAAAGGCUGCAUGCAAGGAGAAAAAUGAUGACAAAAAUAAUAAGCUACAGCCUAAGCUGGACAAUGAUGGUCAGCCACUGA